UACGUAGGGUGCAAGCGUUAAUCGGAAUUACUGGGCGUAAAGCGUGCGCAGGCGGUUUUGUAAGUCAGAUGUGAAAUCCCCGGGCUUAACCUGGGAACUGCGUUUGAAACUACAAGGCUAGAGUGUGACAGAGGGGGGUGGAAUUCCACGUGUAGCAGUGAAAUGCGUAGAGAUGUGGAGGAACACCGAUGGCGAAGGCAGCCCCCUGGGCUAACACUGACGCUCAUGCACGAAAGCGUGGGGAGCAAACAGG
RNAcentral lists this ribosomal RNA (253 nucleotides) under uncultured bacterium. Its description in RNAcentral is "partial 16S ribosomal RNA". It matches the Rfam family "Bacterial small subunit ribosomal RNA", at positions 524 to 776 of the family's 1533-position model. The record is from RNAcentral.